Long non-coding RNA from Aedes aegypti (yellow fever mosquito), 559 nucleotides. RefSeq lists it as uncharacterized. The record is from RefSeq and is a predicted model, not a curated record. NCBI's taxonomy places the organism in Eukaryota, Metazoa, Arthropoda, Insecta, Diptera, Culicidae. The transcript is spliced from 2 exons.
GAGGGUUAGUACGUUGAAUUAAUUUUGAGUUUAUGGGGAUGGAGCUGUCUUCAUUUGCAGCCAUGCGAAAAAACACUUACUGGCUAAGUUCUUUUCACUCAAGUAUCAUUAUUUCCCGUUUGACUUGUGAGGUUUAUCAAUCUGCAGUUUCCCAAACAGGUCGUCCAAGCUGCGAUUUGUCAUAGUUCAAGCAUGUUGAAUCUUUCAGAGCGUGAAAGUUUCCGCGUUCUCGCAUGGUUUGACAACAACGUCCACAUUAUUUGAAACGUACAUUAAGUGAUACGGUUUUGAGCGGUUCGAUAUUCCGAUAUACUUCAGCACCUUGAAUAAUGAAUAUGAAUCUGAUUGUAACGAUUAUAUCAUUGAUGAUCAUGAUUCAUCGUGAUAUGACGACAGCAGUACGACCUAAACGGCUAAAUUCUGUUGGCGGUGGCAAUGGCUGCAAUUGGAUAAGUUGCGAUUUUGAAAAACUUCGUGAAGAAUCUAAAAAGAACAGUUCGAUCUACAAUUAAUGGCACGAGUCAAAAUUUUGAAUAAUAAAUCAUUUUUGAAUUUCGAA